CUAGCGACUUCAGAGUUUGAUCCUGGCUCAGAUUGAACGCUGGCGGCAUGCCUUACACAUGCAAGUCGAACGGCAGCACGGGUGCUUGCACCUGGUGGCGAGUGGCGAACGGGUGAGUAAUACAUCGGAACAUGUCCUGUAGUGGGGGAUAGCCCGGCGAAAGCCGGAUUAAUACCGCAUACGAUCUACGGAUGAAAGCGGGGGACCUUCGGGCCUCGCGCUAUAGGGUUGGCCGAUGGCUGAUUAGCUAGUUGGUGGGGUAAAGGCCUACCAAGGCGACGAUCAGUAGCUGGUCUGAGAGGACGACCAGCCACACUGGGACUGAGACACGGCCCAG
Molecule: ribosomal RNA, 337 nt
Filed under: uncultured bacterium
Lineage: Bacteria
Description: bacterial SSU rRNA
Rfam family: Bacterial small subunit ribosomal RNA
Source: RNAcentral